CCUACGGGCGGCAGCAGUGAGGAAUAUUGGUCAAUGGACGAGAGUCUGAACCAGCCAAGUAGCGUGAAGGAUGACUGCCCUAUGGGUUGUAACCUUCUUUUAUAUGGGAAUAAAAUGUUCCACGUGUGGGAUUUUGUAUGUACCAUAUGAAUAAGGAUCGGCUAACUCCGUGCCAGCAGCCGCGGUAAUACGGAGGUUCCGAGCGUUAUCCGGAUUUAUUGGGGUUAAAGGGAGCGUAGGUGGAUUGUUAAGUCAGUUGUGAAAGUUUGCGGCUUAACCGUAAAAUUGCAGUUGAAACUGGCAGUCUUGAGUACAGUAGAGGUAGGCGGAAUUCGUGGUGUAGCGGUGAAAUGCUUAGAGAUCACGAAGAACUCCGAUUGCGAAGGCAGCGCACUGGACUGCAACUGACACUGAGGCUCGAAAGUGUGGGUAUCAAACAGGAUUAGAUACCCCAGUAGUC
RNAcentral lists this ribosomal RNA (460 nucleotides) under uncultured bacterium. Its description in RNAcentral is "partial 16S ribosomal RNA". It matches the Rfam family "Bacterial small subunit ribosomal RNA", at positions 338 to 795 of the family's 1533-position model. The record is from RNAcentral.